AACGAACGCUGGCGGCAGGCUUAACACAUGCAAGUCGAGCGAGACCUUCGGGUUUACCGGCGGACGGGUGAGUAGAGCGUUGGAACGUGCCCUUCUCUACGCAAUAGCCCCGGGAAACUGGGCGUAAUACCGUAUAUGCUCCUUCGUGGGAAGAUUUGUCGGAGUAGGGUGGGCUGGCGUUGGAUUAGGUUGUUGGUGGGGUAAUGGCCCACCAAUCCGACGAUGCAUAGCUGGUUUGAGAGGAUGAUCAGCCACACUGGGAGUGAGACACGGCCCAGAAUACUACGGGAGGCAGGAGUGGGGAAUCUAAGAAAAUGGGGGCAAUCAUGAACUAGUCAGGCCGGGUGAGUGAUGAAGGCUGUAGGGAAGUAAAGCUAGUUCAGAUGGGAAGAUAAUGACGGUACCAGCAGAAGAAGCACCGGCUAACUCCGUG
RNAcentral lists this ribosomal RNA (433 nucleotides) under uncultured bacterium. RNAcentral describes it as "partial 16S ribosomal RNA". It matches the Rfam family "Bacterial small subunit ribosomal RNA", at positions 29 to 507 of the family's 1533-position model. The record is from RNAcentral.